Molecule: small nucleolar RNA, 303 nt
Organism: Paramisgurnus dabryanus
Lineage: Eukaryota; Metazoa; Chordata; Actinopteri; Cypriniformes; Cobitidae
Source: RefSeq, a predicted model, not a curated record
GCCCUGUGAUGAGACCAAGGCGAAUGCGAACUCGCUGGUUAAGAGCCUGAGUUCCUCUCCUGUGUUCCUAUUGGCUGGUAAUCUUGGCUGAGCAGUUGAGAUUUGCUGCUUUGCUGUAAGGGCCUGCCUAUAUUAAACAUAGCCCCUCCCCUCAAACUCUCUCUCUCUGAGAGAAAUGCAGAAGAGAGAGAUGGGAAGGGUGGUCAGUGGGUGUGUGAAUGUGUGUGUGGGGACACAGGACAAGUCUCAGGUCUCUGUAAUGUCCAGUGGGUUGUGAGCUGCUUCUUUAAUAAUCUGAGGGCU